RNAcentral lists this long non-coding RNA (284 nucleotides) under Nicotiana benthamiana. RNAcentral's name for it is "long non-coding RNA (NBEN_LNC013513)". The record is from RNAcentral. Lineage: Eukaryota; Viridiplantae; Streptophyta; Magnoliopsida; Solanales; Solanaceae.
GACAUAAAAGAUAAGGUAAAAAGGCUAAAAUAUGUGGUAAAAUCACCCAACAUCAGUUUACGACAUUAUGGGCGAAACAACUCUUUUAUCCCCUUUCGAGGAAUUUGGGUUAUGUAAUUGGAAGAGUCGCCACCUAAUGAUUAUAGUGCAUUAGGACAUUUUUAAAGAAGAGAAGAUUUUGAAAGAUAAACCAGAGUUCGGGUAAGGGCUUGAGAUUAUCUUGAGGUGAGGGUUUUAGGCACCCCUCAAGAUUCACUAGUGCGGUUCACGGUCGUGCUUAAGUG